GUAGUUUUUGGGAUCGUAGGCGAAAUUGGCCAGAUUGGCCAGGACCUGCUCCUUGGCCUCUGCAACCGUGUCAGGAAGGGUAAAGACAGACGGUGGAAAGAGAUUUAUUUCUUUAUUGCCUCCUGUAAAAAGGCAGAAGAAGUCGAAGCGGAGGGGAAAGAGCACAGAAGCUGAACCCCAUGAAUGAGGCAGCUGAUAUCAGGAAGAAACUGGAGGUGUAGAAGACAUAGUGGAAAUCACUGGUUAUGUCCACCAGGAG
Apus apus (common swift) is the source of this 259-nucleotide long non-coding RNA. RefSeq lists it as uncharacterized. The transcript has 3 exons. The record is from RefSeq and is a predicted model, not a curated record. Lineage: Eukaryota; Metazoa; Chordata; Aves; Apodiformes; Apodidae.